Molecule: ribosomal RNA, 839 nt
Filed under: uncultured bacterium
Lineage: Bacteria
Description: bacterial SSU rRNA
Rfam family: Bacterial small subunit ribosomal RNA
Source: RNAcentral
CCUGAACGCUGGCGGCGUGGCUAAGACAUGCAAGUCGCACGGUGUAGCAAUACACAGUGGCGAACGGGUGAGUAAUGAAUCGCUAAUGUGCCCCGGACUCUGGGAUAGCUACCCGAAAGGGUAGGUAAUACCAGAUGAGACCACGAACAGGCAUCUGUUUGUGCUCAAAGGUCCGCCGGUCUGGGAGCAGGCGAUUUCGUAUCAGCUAGUUGGUGAGGUAACGGCUCACCAAGGCGACGACGCGUAGCUGGACUGAGAGGUUGGCCGGCCACAUUGGGACUGAGACACUGCCCAGACUCCUACGGGGGGCUGCAGUAACGAAUCUUCCGCAAUGCACGAAAGUGUGACGGAGCGACGCCGCGUGGAGGAGAAGCCCUUCGGGGUGUAAACUCCUGUCAGGGGUUAGAAAGUUCUGAUCAACCCCAGAGGAAGGCACGGCUAACUCUGUGCCAGCAGCCGCGGUAAGACAGAGGUGCCAAGCGUUAGGCGGAAUCACUGGGCUUAAAGCGUGUGUAGGCGGAUCGUUAAGUACCUUGUGAAAUCCCACGGCUUAACCGUGGAACUGCUCGGUAUACUGGCGGUCUUGAGCAACCUAGGGGCGAGCGGAACAAAUGGUGGAGCGGUGAAAUGCGUAGAUAUCAUUUGGAACGCCAAUGGUGAAAACAGCUCGCUGGGGGUUUGCUGACGCUGAGACACGAAAGCCAGGGGAGCAAACGGGAUUAGAUACCCCGGUAGUCCUGGCCGUAAACGAUGUCGACUAGAUCGCAGAGCCUCUGACGGCGUUGCGGUCGAAGCAAAAGUGCUAAGUCGACCGCCUGGGAAGUACGGUCGCAAGGCUA